This 497-nucleotide ribosomal RNA is filed under the name uncultured bacterium. RNAcentral describes it as "partial 16S ribosomal RNA". It matches the Rfam family "Bacterial small subunit ribosomal RNA", at positions 28 to 507 of the family's 1533-position model. The record is from RNAcentral.
GAUGAACGCUGGCGGCGUGCCUAAUACAUGCAAGUCGAGCGAACAGACGAGGAGCUUGCUCCUCUGACGUUAGCGGCGGACGGGUGAGUAACACGUGGAUAACCUACCUAUAAGACUGGGAUAACUUCGGGAAACCGGAGCUAAUACCGGAUAAUAUAUUGAACCGCAUGGUUCAAUAGUGAAAGACGGUUUUGCUGUCACUUCUAGAUGGAUCCGCGCCGCAUUAGCUAGUUGGUAAGGUAACGGCUUACCAAGGCAACGAGGCGUAGCCGACCUGAGAGGGUGAUCGGCCACACUGGAACUGCAACACGGUCCAGCCUCCUACGGUAGGCAGCAGUAGGGAAUCUUCCGCAAUGGGCGAAAGCUUGACGGAGCAACGCCGCGUGAGUGAUGAAGGUCUUCGGAUCGUAAAACUCUGUUAUUAGGGAAGAACAAAUGUGUAAGUAACUAUGCACGUCUUGACGGUACCUAAUCAGAAAGCCACGGCUAACUACGUG